RNAcentral lists this long non-coding RNA (476 nucleotides) under Homo sapiens (human). Its description in RNAcentral is "non-protein coding lnc-PIWIL4-1:16". The record is from RNAcentral. Lineage: Eukaryota; Metazoa; Chordata; Mammalia; Primates; Hominidae.
AUUCCUCUUCCAAAGACUUGCUGAGCACCUUCUAGGUGCCAGAUGCGGUGCUGGCUCCUGGGGACAUGGGAGUGAACAGGCCAGGCGUGGCCCUGAACCAUCAAAUAGACAACCACAGAAAUAACAACAACAAAGACAAAACCGGGCCCUUCCACACAGUAGCUGGAACACAAAGGAAGAUCAGCCAAGCCUCAACAUAAUCUCAUAAAAAUUCUUCAAAUAUCCCAUUGUUAUGGAUUCAUACAUCAGGAAAGCAGAUGCCAAGAACCUGAACACCUUCUACUGGUAACAUAUAUUUUGGCGAGCCAGCCUGGAGACAAGACCACUAUGGGCAACUUCCUGUCUAUUCUACCUGGUGUCACUGUGGACAACUUCCUAUCUAUUCCACCCGAUUCACCGCUUGGCUACAUCCUCCACCAUUGGGAUGAAUUUGACCCUAACAAUCUAAAGAAAAGGCAUAUGAUUUUUUACUGCAA